GAUCAUGGCUCAGAUUGAACGCUGGCGGCGUGCUUAACACAUGCAAGUCGCGCGUGAAAGGACUUCGGUCCGAGUAAAGCGGCGCACGGGUGAGUAACGCGUGGAUGAUCUACCCAUGAGUUGGGAAUAACGGCUGGAAACGGUCGCUAAUACCGAAUACGCUCCGAUUUCAACUUCGGGGGAAAGGUGGCCUCUGCUUGCAAGCUACUGCUCAUGGAUGAGUCCGCGUCCCAUUAGCUAGUUGGUGGGGUAACGGCCCACCAAGGCGACGAUGGGUAGCCGGUCUGAGAGGAUGACCGGCCACACUGGGACUGGAACACGGCCCAGACUCCUACGGGAGGCAGCAGUGGGGAAUAUUGCGCAAUGGGCGAAAGCCUGACGCAGCGACGCCGCGUGAAGGGAUGAAGGUCCUCGGAUCGUAAACCUCUGUCAGGAGGGAAGAACCGCCACGGUGCUAAUCAGCCGUGGUCUGACGGUACCUCCAAAGGAAGCACCGGCUAACUCCGUGCCAGCCGCUGC
This 519-nucleotide ribosomal RNA is filed under the name uncultured bacterium. Its description in RNAcentral is "bacterial SSU rRNA". It matches the Rfam family "Bacterial small subunit ribosomal RNA", at positions 15 to 518 of the family's 1533-position model. The record is from RNAcentral.